AUUUAGUUGUUAUUUUCUCUAUCAUGCAAUAACUUUCAUUUUCAGAACAAUUUUUAACAAAACCUUUCAUAUGCACUUUGCUGUCUAUCAACAUGUUUUUAUCCUCUGCGCAUGAUUUGUCAUCCUGGUUACUCAAAGAACAGGCAUAGCAAGUGAGACAACCUGCAGAAAGAAAGAUACAAAUGUAGGAGUCCGGAAUUGUUUGUUUGAUUACAGUAUUGUAUUUAUCUAAAGGAAUC
Molecule: long non-coding RNA, 239 nt
Filed under: Mytilus galloprovincialis (Mediterranean mussel)
Lineage: Eukaryota; Metazoa; Mollusca; Bivalvia; Mytilida; Mytilidae
Source: RNAcentral